This is an RNA transcript of Macrobrachium nipponense, 2805 nucleotides long. RefSeq lists it as uncharacterized. The transcript is spliced from 5 exons. The record is from RefSeq and is a predicted model, not a curated record. NCBI's taxonomy places the organism in Eukaryota, Metazoa, Arthropoda, Malacostraca, Decapoda, Palaemonidae.
GGUACCUAGUUUCCAGUGCAGGGCAGGCACAGGACACACCUACCACCCACAUUCAGUGACUGACACACUCACGCCAGAGAUCGACCGAACACCAUGGCUAACUGCGCCCCGGCAACCGCCAGCUCCUCCGAGCCUCUUACUAAUGAGACUUUACCACGGACCUGCAACAAUUGUUACUUAAGCUACAAGGAUUUCUCGUGCUAUUAUUCGGGACAUUAUGACCGCUUAAUACAGCUCUGCCAAGACCACGGGCUUUUAAAGAAGCAGGCUUUUUGCCCCCAUUGUGGUAAAGAGUGCAGACUUGACCUGCUGAAGAAGGGGUUCAGAUGCGACAGGUCUUAUGCCCCGUACAGAAAGAAGGCCAAGAAGAGGUGUGACUACUACCUUAACAUAUUUAAGGGCACAUGGUUUUCUAGGACCCGCCUGGAUGUUGAGACUGCCCUCUUCUUCGUAUACCUGUAUGUCAGUGACUUUUUCUCCUACAGGGUUGCGAGGACAGAGCUUGCACUAAGUGAUAUGGCUAUAAAUGAUUGGUCCAGCUUCGCCCGGGAAGUCAUAGUUCAUUGGUGCAUCCGGCACAAGAAACAAAUAGGUGGCCCCGGUACAACUGUCGAGAUUGAUGAGGCGAAAUUUGGGAAGAGAAAGUACAAUGUCGAUCGGGUUAGUGAAGGACAGUGGAUGUUUUGCGGUUUCUGCAGGCAGACGGGACAGUUUUUCGUGGUACCUGUAACCGAUACGACAAGCAAAACAUUGCUUGCAGUUAUCAUGGAAUACAUUGUGCCGGGGACGACUGUUGUCUCCGAUUGCUGGAGAGCUUAUGAUUGCUUGGGGGACGAAGGAUACGUUCAUUUAACUGUCAGUCGCGCCAUCAACUUUGUGGACCCAGUAAUCGAUGCCCAUUCAAAUGCUAUUGCGAGGAGGUGGAGCAAACUUCGGGAGACGACGGCCAGGUGCGGACGUAGACGGUACAACUUCGUCGGGUACUUGUCUGUAGCGUAUUUCAAGUUACAUUUCCAAGACCCGAAAACGAGGUUCCAUGCGUUCAUCAAGGCAGCGGCGGAUUUGUACCCUCCACCUCUUUAAGGAAACCAGGUAACAAGGUUGAGCUAUGAACUUUCUCCUACAGUUUGCCUUGUAAUGUGGGUAGAUGGAGGAUUGCUGAUCCAUCACCUGAUGACAGACGCGAGUAGCACAGCGAUGGGUGUGGUACUCAAAUGCUGUUCUUCUGCAAGUUGUUGUCAGCAAAGCUAAAGAACUCCAUGUUUGUCCAAGAGUUCCCGUUAGUCCACAGAGCCAUACAUCACUUCCGACACAUGCUGGUAGGAUGAUAAUUCUUGGUGCAGACAAACCAUCAACUGUUGGUACACACCACCAUAAAUGGAGAUGGGUGGUCAGCAAGGUAGCAGCGUUGCCUAUCAUCGAUAGCCGAACACUCCUGCACUUCAGAUACUAGAAGCUCUUAACAACAACGUAGCUGACGCCCUUUCCCGAAAUACAGCAACUUUGACGGGGGAACCCUGCCCCUAAGUGGAAAGACCCAUCAAUCAAUGAUGGUGAGAUGACCACUCCUUGCAAGAAGAGUUCCGAAUGGCCUAGCCCAUACCUACUGUUAAGGUUGAGAAAGAAAGCCUUCAACCUUGCCCACAACCUGCUUUGUCAGUCGGGUAGAUUCACUGCCCGAACCCAGUCUGAGCAGUACAUCUGACAGGGAAUGAAGGCAAGACAUCAAAAAGUGGGCAAGAGAAUGCCUAAUGCCAAACAAAAAAACAACAAAGCACACAGAAACGUGGAUAGUUCCAGACAACACAGCGACGACAGCAACACCAGAUGGCCAGAAGCAACAAAAGUACAACAGCAGACAGAUUGCAGAAGUACUAAAAUAGGCUAGGCCAACAGGCAUGGAAUACUGCAAUAUAUAGCUAGCCACAGAGCAGCCAACUUCACCUUCACUUUAUGGAACUCCCUUGCUGCCAGCCUCAGGACAAACAUCUUCACAUAAAAGCAUACAACCCAGAAGAGAUCAGCAUGGUGGACUGGCUGCACCGCUCCCUUAAAUCGGUACUCGCUGCCAGAUCAAGGCAGGAGUUGGAGAAAGGCAUUGUGGGUCUUGCUGGAACUGAGAACAGACCAGCAUGCAGCAUUCAAUGCACUGCUGGCAGAAGCACUCUACGGGCAAGCAUUGACAACACCAGUGGACAUUCAACAGAACCCACAGCUCUUCCAGAUAUCCGUAGAGCAUUGGAAGAGAUCAAGCUGGCGAAGACAACAUACGAAGUAGAGAUUAAAUAUGUCCCUGAAGACCUUGGAAAAGCAGAAUAUGCAUUCACAUGAAUAGAUGCAUACAAGCCCCUGUCUCCAGCCUACUCAGGACCACACCGCAUUCUGCAAAGGAGUGUGUGUAUCAGCCGAUAGUCAAUAGAAGGAUUAUCAGUGUCUCCACUGACAGAUUAUAUAACCAGCCUACAUCCUAAGCAGCAACCCACCCCAGGCCUACUUUUAAGGCAUCCUCGCUUCAAAGCAAAAAUGUAAGUGAUGGACCAAGCACUCCCAAGAAACACAUUUAGCACUCCAGUUUCAAGUGAUCUGUUAUGCAUUUUUCAGAGGCUACUUUGACUAUGUCACUGUUAGGACUGGUAUUACUAACACAUGGUUGGAAAGCUGUCGGUCUUGACGUAUGUAUAUUCAUUUGAAAUAUCUUCCAAAAUGGUGUAUAAAUUGCAACAUUUGUCAGGUGUGAGAAAGCACAUCUGACUGUUCUUGACCUGUCAAGGAUAAUUUGGUGUCAAUAAAUUUGAAUAAGCCUUG